GGCUGAAGUAGGUCCCAAGGGUAUGGCUGUUCGCCAUUUAAAGUGGUACGCGAGCUGGGUUUAGAACGUCGUGAGACAGUUCGGUCCCUAUCUGCCGUGGGCGCUGGAGAAUUGAGGGGGGCUGCUCCUAGUACGAGAGGACCGGAGUGGACGCAUCACUGGUGUUCGGGUUGUCAUGCCAAUGGCACUGCCCGGUAGCUAAAUGCGGAAGAGAUAAGUGCUGAAAGCAUCUAAGCACGAAACUUGCCCCGAGAUGAGUUCUCCCUGAGACUUUAAGUCUCCUGAAGGAACGUUGAAGACGACGACGUUGAUAGGUCGGGUGUGUAAGCGCAGCGAUGCGUUGAGCUAACCGAUACUAAUGAACCGUGAGGCUUAACCUU
This 380-nucleotide ribosomal RNA is filed under the name Enterobacter hormaechei. Its description in RNAcentral is "partial 23S ribosomal RNA". It matches the Rfam family "Bacterial large subunit ribosomal RNA", at positions 2551 to 2925 of the family's 2925-position model. The record is from RNAcentral. Lineage: Bacteria; Pseudomonadati; Pseudomonadota; Gammaproteobacteria; Enterobacterales; Enterobacteriaceae.